This 460-nucleotide ribosomal RNA is filed under the name uncultured bacterium. Its description in RNAcentral is "partial 16S ribosomal RNA". It matches the Rfam family "Bacterial small subunit ribosomal RNA", at positions 338 to 795 of the family's 1533-position model. The record is from RNAcentral.
CCUACGGGUGGCAGCAGUGAGGAAUAUUGGUCAAUGGACGAGAGUCUGAACCAGCCAAGUAGCGUGAAGGAUGAAGGAUCUAUGGUUUGUAAACUUCUUUUAUAUGGGAAUAAAGUGAGGAACGUGUUCCUUUUUGUAUGUACCAUAUGAAUAAGCAUCGGCUAACUCCGUGCCAGCAGCCGCGGUAAUACGGAGGAUGCGAGCGUUAUCCGGAUUUAUUGGGUUUAAAGGGUGCGUAGGUGGAUAAUUAAGUCAGCGGUGAAAGUUUGUGGCUCAACCGUAAAAUUGCCGUUGAAACUGGUUGACUUGAGUAUAGUAGAGGUAGGCGGAAUGCGUGGUGUAGCGGUGAAAUGCAUAGAUAUCACGCAGAACUCCGAUUGCGAAGGCAGCUUACUGGACUAUAACUGACACUGAGGCACGAAAGCGUGGGGAUCAAACAGGAUUAGAUACCCCAGUAGUC